This 882-nucleotide long non-coding RNA is filed under the name Rhinolophus ferrumequinum (greater horseshoe bat). RNAcentral's name for it is "lncRNA (ENSRFEG00010013112.1)". Lineage: Eukaryota; Metazoa; Chordata; Mammalia; Chiroptera; Rhinolophidae. The record is from RNAcentral.
AUGCAAGAUGGCGGCGGCGGGGCGCUGAGAGGCGCGGCGGCCCCUGCAGGUAGCCGGCUCGGCGACGAGUCGGCCGGGGUUCACCGGGGCUGCGGGUGGGAACCGGAAGCUCAGAGCCCUCGGCCGGCACGGCGGCCGGGGAAAGCGAGUGGCGCGCGGACCGGAUGGAGGAGGGCGGCCCCAGGGAGAUGGCAGAUAGGUACUUGAGACCUGUUGGCAAUGAUGGCCUGAGCUAAACACCUCCUAAUUUGAAGGAACACCCUUCAGUCUCAAAGGACAGAAUGCUGAGAAAGCUAUGGCAGGUAUGUGUGUGUUGUUCUGCUAAGGUAAAACUCAGAUACUGAAUGUGCUCACUUUAGAUCUCCUGAUACUAUAUUUAGCUACAGUUUUAAAACCUUUUGUUUGAAAAGCAGCGGAUAUAUUCCUAACACUUUUUAAAGAAAUGUACUUUCAAACUCUAAAAAUAUAGGAGUAUUGGCUGCUUUAAUGUUAAAGGAAACACCAUCACACUUCAUAGUAAAUCUAUGAGGUAUAUUUAUAAUUGAUUUUUCAAUGGAUACUUGCUGAAAUCCUUUAUGUGUCAGGUACUAUAUACCAGGUGCUAUGGUAACAGUGGUAAACAAGACAAAUGAAGGUCACGACGAGGAGACCUUUAGUGUAGGGAAACUGAUCGAGAAAUCUUACUCUUCUUUUGCCUAUAUCCAGAAAGACGCUUCCAGAACAAUUCCUGAAAAUAUAUUUUCAAUAUAUAGUCUACUAUAUAUUGUAGAACUAUAAUAGUAGUUCAUUAUAAUUAUAAAAUUAAGGUGUUAAUAAUGAAAUACUUUGAUUUAGGUUAAGCAUACCAUUAUUUAAAUAUCUGAAUAUAUUUUUACGUAAUCG